UGCCAGCAGCCGCGGUAAAACGUAGGAGGCGAGCGUUAUCCGGAUUUACUGGGUGUAAAGCGCGUGUAGGCGGUAACGUAAGUCGUGUGUGAAAGCGCUCAGGCUCAACCGGGCGAGGACAUGCGAAACUGCGGGACUUGAGGUAGGUAGAGGUAUGUGGAAUUCCGGGUGUAGUGGUGAAAUGCGUAGAGAUCCGGAGGAACACCAGUGGCGAAGGCGGCUCACUGGCUCGAUACUGACGCUGAGGUGCGAAAGCGUGGGGAGCAAACAGGAUUAGAUA
RNAcentral lists this ribosomal RNA (280 nucleotides) under uncultured bacterium. RNAcentral's name for it is "partial 16S ribosomal RNA". It matches the Rfam family "Bacterial small subunit ribosomal RNA", at positions 506 to 784 of the family's 1533-position model. The record is from RNAcentral.